AGAGAAGCGUCUCCCUAUUAGAAAUCGUUACUAUUCUCUAAUGAGUCAAUGGCUAUGAGUGUGAUUCUCAAAAAAGCCUAAGGCUUUCGAUGCUACCAUGCAUAUAUGUUUCAUCUUAUUUGGAAUAUUUACUGGCUUUUUAAGUUUAUAUUUUGGAUAUAAAUUGAAGAUUUGAUUGGUACGUGAACAAAUGUCAUAUAGCCGGCGCAGUAAGACGUGUUUUAACUUUUAACGGUUAGGAAAAACAGAUGCGGUUAGAAACAUAUACAUUGUUUUAAACAAAAGCACGGGAUUUAUUUCUUAAAAAAAAGUUUAUAAGAAACAAAAUUUGAUGAUUAUAAAAUUAUGUGUCUAAAGUUUGUAACUUAUAAUACAUUUAUUGUUGUGUUGACUUGAUCCGUAUCUAUACGAUAUAAUCGUUAAAUCCGGUGAUCCGUAUAUAAACCACCACUAUUUAAAAAUCCGAUAAAUUUUGGGUUAAAUUUAAAUCCUGUUAUUAACCUAUCACUUGACACUGAUUGACUCGUGAAACUAAGAUAUAUAUCCAAUGAUAUAUAAAAAAACAUUAACUUAAAUAAACUAUUUAUGAUUUUUUAUUUAAAAUUUAAUUACUAUAAAUCAUUAAAAAUAAAGAAGACCAAAAUAUAGUGAUAGGUUUUCAUUAUUGAUAAUUUAUUAUAAAUUUAUUUUUUUAAUUUUAAUGGAAAGGAUGAAAUAAAAAAAACAAUAAAUGUUUUUUGUUUAUUGGGAUUAAUCAUUACUACUAUUUUAGUCAUCAGAUUCAUGAGACACUGUUAGAGUAGGGAAGAUGAUAUGUUUUUAUAGUAUACUUAUAUGAGUUAAUAUAAUAGAGUUAUGUAUGUAUAAAAAUUUGGUAUAACAAAAAUAUAGUAUAGAUGGUAAAAGUAACGUAUGUAUAGUUAGAGAGAAUUAACUAUUGUUAGUAUAGUUAGAGAAAUAAUAGAAAAUAUAAUGUAGGACCAAAAAUUUAAUUGGUUAAAGAAUAGGUUCAAUAACGUUUUGUAAGUAGAUUAUUAGGAUGAUUUUCUUUUAAUAGUAUAGAUUGUCAUUAAGAUAAAUUUUAAAAAUAAUGAAUAAUAGCUGAAAAUAUUUUUUCAUUAAUUUAAUAGAAAAAAAUCUUUAUUAAAAAGUAAAUAUGGCUUGACGCAGAAAAUAAGCAGACUUAGCUAUCUAAAUUAUUACAAGCUAUCAAAUUUAUCUAUGAUGUUUAACUUUUUUCCACCCGGAUUUUUCCGCAUGUUUGAUUGGCGGGUAUUGCAUAUCUAAACGAUACUAGAGCUUGACAUGCGCACCCGCGCAUGUAUUAUUUUUACUUAUAAAAAAAUAUUUAUCUUAUAUAAAUCGUAGUAUAUAUUUUUAAAAUUUAUUUGUAUUAAUAACUGUUUAAUAUAUUUCUAAACACAAUACUUUUAUAAUUUAUAAUAAAUAAUUUUAUUUUAUUUUUGAUCCGUCAAUUGUAUCAUCCACAUUUUAAUAAUAUGACCCGUGUGUUCGUGCAAAUGUAUUCUUUAUGGUUCAAAAUUUUAAUGUAAAACAAAUUGUUAUCAAUGGCUAUAUUUGAUUUAUUAGAUCAAAUAAUUCAAUAUAUUAUUUACAAUUUUGUGUUUCAUAUUAUGUAUCUUUAUAAUACUUUCUUCUGUCUUUUUUGACAUAGUUAAUAUACGAAAAGAUAAACAAACAACUCAUAAUAAUAGACAUAUGAUUACAUUUUUGAAAUUGAUUAAUUAUAAUUUAUUAUCUAGCUAGAUUAUAGAAAAUAUUCAUUAACUAAAUUGUACUUAAUUUACUGUACUUCAAUUUAGGAAAAUGCAUUAACUGAACUGUAAAAGACAAGAAUAUUAUAAGGUAAAUAAAUUUAUUACUUCAGUGGCAUAUAAUUGUAAAUAAGUUAAAAAAAUGAAGGGGUAAUUUAGUUUUUUACUCCUCUUUUAAUAAUAUAGAUGGUUUUAGCUAUCAUACAAAAAAUCAAAUAUAUGGUUUAAAUUAUUUGGAAUAUACUCAAAUCGUUUUAUGAACUUUGCAAUAGCUCAAAUAUCAUAUGUACUUAGCAAAAAGUACUUAUGGCUCAAGAUAAAUCAUCAAACUACGUACAGCCACUUGAUGUGUUAUCUAUCUUAUUAUGAUUAGUUUUUAAUCACUUAUUUUAUCAAGAGUAUAUUAUAAUUCCAUUUGAAAGAAAGAGAAAAGAGAGGCUAAAGGAGAAAAGAGGAGGAUAUAAAGCAUUAGAGUCGAGAGAGCAAAAGGGAAUAUAUGGAAACUUGUUAUAAAGAACAAACGGGUAAGAAAAAGCUUUACAUUAUUUUUAUUAAAGCGAUAUGUUGUUUUAAUUCCAGAUUCCGCUUUUUGUUGGUUCACCACUUCUCAUAGCUCAUACUUUCGUGAAUUUAGUUUAAAGUUUUGUUACUAAAAUAUGUUUCCUAGCUGUGCUACUGCUAUAUAUACUGAAUAAAUUAAGCUGUUGACAGAACAUAGUUUUAAGCUAAUAUUUCUUGUUCGAACAUUUGUUAAGAGAAAAAAACAUGUUUAAGUUAUGUAUGGAAUCACCAUGGCCAUAUAUGAAAGGAAUCAAUAGUAAACAUUUGGAACAUUUACGGUAAUUCAGAGUCGUUGCCUAACUAGAAAUAUUCUUCCACCACCUACAUGUUUUUAAUUAAAUUGAAAAAAAAUACUGAGAUUCAGAAUAAAUCAAUGAAGCAUAUACCAGGCAACAAGAUUUUUUUAUUUGUAGUCGCACGAGAGUGAGAGGUAACGAUUGAUCACUUAUUUUCUAAAGCGAAUUAAAAUAAAGAUGACUAAUUAUUCUAAAAUUUAGUGGAUGCAAAAGAGAAAAAGAAGGGGAACAUCUGAUUUAACUGACUACCAUAAACUAGGACAGAUAUUCACAUAAAUUAACAAUACUGAAAGAGACCUGAGAGUCGCAGAAUCUUCCCACCGGGCUUUAGUGAAGUGGCCAGGAAGGUAAAAGAUUCUUGCUUAGAAAUAUCGUAAACAUUUUUUAUCACAUUUUCUCGCUCGCGUUCUUUUAUAUCUCCCCCAUAUAUUGCAUUGUCUUUCAAAUGUAAUUCUUAUCUAGGUUCGAUUAAAAACAAUGAACUAAUUUGACAUACCUAAAAGAGUUAGCUUAUAGCUAUAUAUAUAUAUUUUUUUUUGAACUUAGCUUAUAGCUAUAUUCUUAUGAAACAAUGAAUAACUAGAUUUUUGGACAUCUAUGAAUUAAUUAGAAGAUAUGAAUUGAAAAGAUUUAUAAUAUACUUUAUACAUAUAUGUUAUUUCAAGAUUUUAAUUAUGAAAAGAUCAAAAGUGUUUUUUGAAAUAUCGAAUAAAAUAAAACAUAAGACUCAAUUUUCAUUGUGUAAAUAGUGAAACUUAAACUAUUUUUGCUGUUGUUAAUCUGAUCAAGUUUAAACUGAAAGAAGUUAAUUGGUUUGCUCUAUCUGGAGAAAUCAGUUUGCAAAAGUUACAUCAGGAAACAAAGUUCUUUACCAAACAAUUCGUGUGAGAGAAUUCACCUACAAAUGGAAUCAAAGGUAGUGAAAAAAAAAUCAUAUAUAUCCAGGAUUAAACAUGAGUCAUCCGAGAGAUUAACUGGAAAAGGCUGGAAGGGCCGAGACAUCUUGAAUCUAGACAUGUACUGCAUACUAAUAAUUUUUAUUGCUUGAUAUAGAUUCUAAACUUUCAUAUUCAACUAUUUUAUAUAUAAUGUUGACAAAAAACUAUUUAUUUUCACAGUUUAAUCUUAUUUAGUGAUUAAGUAGCCCAUUGGCAUCUAAUCCCACAUCAAAUCUUUUUUUUUUGACUGAACACAUCAAAUCUUCGAACAGCCGACAUGCAUAUCCUUACAUUUUGGAUAUCCCCUUCAAACAUUUCAUAUAUUUCUUCAAAUUUCUUCAAAUAUAUUUAUAUGGUAUACCGUAUAUUAGUCUAUUAAUGUAUAUGUUCCUAACUUCCUAUUUACUUAUCAUUAUCCUUUGUUUAUCUAUUUUUAGUUAUCCAAAACUUAGAAACCUUUAAUUACUAAAUUUAAAUCCAGAACUAACAGUUAGUUAUUUAUAUCAAUAUCAUUCAUGCCCUAGGGUUUAAGCAGUGAGUAGAAGUUCAAUCUCAUUAAUAAUCAGAGAUGUAGUAAAACAAAACUUUGCAGACAGAACCGAUCCGGUUCAGCUAAAGUCAGUUUCUUAAGUGUUAAAAUACUCAGGAUUUUUUCCGGUAUUGUCUGUACUGGAGAAUUUCUGUCAAGAAAUUGUAAUCGAAUUCUAACAAAUAAAUUUCUUUUUUUCACACAUAACGUGUCGAUCUGCAACACUAUAUAUAGGACCAGAGCAAACCUGAAUCCUGAAACAAUGAAGUCUAGAUCAGUUCGGGUGGGGAAACCACACGUAAUAGAUAAUCCCAUAUCUCUAGUUGUGUAACCAAACAAAUUGAGACAUGAAAACAAUAUAAAAAUAUAACGUUUUCAAGAAAAUUAUUUUAAAAUACAACAUAUUGAUGAAAAAGUCUGAUAGAAUACAAAUCUAUCCAUAAAUAUUCUUGCUAUCCUAAUUUCUAAAUCACAAAACCAAAAUUUACAAUAUUUAUCUAAUGAAUGAAAACUUUCCAAAAAAUACAGUUUUUAAGAAAACUAUUUAAAAAUACAAAAUAUUGAUGAAAAUUUCUUAAAGAAUACUCAUCUAUCCAAAAAUAUUCUUGUUAUCCUAAUUUCUAAAUCACAAUACUCAAAUGUACAAUAUUUCUC
Brassica rapa (field mustard) is the source of this 4753-nucleotide long non-coding RNA. RefSeq lists it as uncharacterized. The record is from RefSeq and is a predicted model, not a curated record. Lineage: Eukaryota; Viridiplantae; Streptophyta; Magnoliopsida; Brassicales; Brassicaceae.